This 739-nucleotide long non-coding RNA is filed under the name Spirodela polyrhiza (greater duckweed). RNAcentral's name for it is "long non-coding RNA (SPOL_LNC002002)". The record is from RNAcentral. Lineage: Eukaryota; Viridiplantae; Streptophyta; Magnoliopsida; Alismatales; Araceae.
AACAUGGGAAAACCUCCGAAGACUCUGAGCAGCUCUCCAGUCUGAGUUUCUUAAGUCACAGUAACUCUCUCUCUCUCUCUCUCUAUCUCUCUCUCUCUCUCUGUAUCUCGUCCGUCGGUGAUGGCCUGGAGUCUUCAUCGGGCCUUCCUCAUGUUCCAAAAGAGAGAUGCAAUGUCAUUUAUUUCAAACAUCUUGUUGGCAUUUAAGUUUAUAUCUCCUUUCGACCAAUACCAGAGGAACUUGCCAUGCCAAUCGGCAAGGGUCAAACGGUUUCUUUGAGCGGAAGGACGGAGUCCUAUGUCAACGCCACUGACGGAGGAAUACGUGGUCACAGGCUCCGCCGGGUCAGGUGGGCGGCGGGCUGCCGGCGCCGGCACGAGAAGUGAUUUCACAGCGCCAGGUCAUCGUCGGCCUGCUCGCGAUCGCCGUCGGUCUCGUCUUCGCCGGCUUCGGCGCGCUGCCGGAGCACCACCUCGACCCCUCUCAGCCUGCUGCUUACGCUGCUCGUCGUUCGGCUGGAGGCGUUCUUCGGGCGCCAUGCAUGGGCUCGCUUGUGGGUGAGGUCCUCAACUACUGCAUCAUCAGUAUCCUGGUUUAUGUGGCGGCCAACCCAAUGUGGCACGUCAUCAUGCGUUGACCGCGAGGGGGCGGCUGCCGAGUACCCAGUUAGUACAGUAAUUGGCGGCAGGAGUGAGAAACCUAGCUUUACUUGGAGAACUCCAAUUAUCCGAUCUAGACC